This 4108-nucleotide long non-coding RNA is filed under the name Gossypium barbadense (sea-island cotton). RNAcentral describes it as "long non-coding RNA (GBAR_LNC001905)". The record is from RNAcentral. Lineage: Eukaryota; Viridiplantae; Streptophyta; Magnoliopsida; Malvales; Malvaceae.
UUUAUUACUCAAAUUAAAACCAAACAUCAAAACAAGCCAGAAGUCCAAAACCGGGCCCAGACAAAAGAAAACUAAGCCAGCCUAUCGUCUCGAGCAGUGUGUACCCGUCCUAUCCCCUCAUCUUUCAAUUCAAAACCAACGGUUUCAUUUCCCACAGAAAACUUUCCAUUUUCCAUCCCCGUUACAGACCAUCAUUUCUCUCAAAAACACAUUUCUAAGCUUUCUUUAUCCUAGAGACCGAAAAGCUUUUACCAUCUUCCUCCUCAAUCGGCCUGGAGUCCAUUCUUCUUCCAUUAUCCUCACAACGAAUCUUGGUACCUUCUCAUCCAGGUAAAACUCUUCACCAUUUCUCAAACUUUCAGUAGCUAUUACAUGAGCAAGUUGAUUAGCCGAGCGUCUUGCAUGUUUGAUUCGUCGAGACCGGAAACAGUUGAUAUUUCGUUUUAUAUUCCGGAUAUAAGCACUUAUUUCUUAUUUGUCUUGUGAAUCUGAGUUGGAUUUCUUUAUAACUGAUAAAGAGUCUCCUAUAAUCAUAUCUGUGAAACCCAAAUCUAACCUCAUUUGUACUGCCCAUAAACGGCAAGAGCUUCCGCUGCGAAAGCCGACCCAAUAUUUGCAUGUAUGACCGAUCUAGAGGCAACCACCUUUUCUAGGACGUUUUUUGGCACCAUCCCCGACCUCGACCUAGAAUGUGUCCAAUCAAAAUCUGCAUCGAAGUUUAUUUUAAUACAAACCCCCGAAGGAGGUUCUUGUUUCGCGCUAAUAACUCUCCUGGUAGGCCCUCGUUCUUCGAUGCCUUCUAGUUCUUUAAUGUAACUUUGAAUGAAAUUGGCUACCUCUCUACCCAAUUUUGCUGAGUUCUCAUGCACACGCUUAUUCCUUUCAAUCUACAAGGCCCAAAUGGCACAACAAAAAACCCUCCGUUGAAGAACAGAACUUACACUGAAUACCCAGGUAAGCCAUUCAAACGUUUCUUGAGUUGUAUUUGACAUUAUCCACGAGUACUCUAGUAAUUUCCAAACAUCCUUUAAAGCAAGGAAACUUCAGAAAACAUGAUUCGUCAUUUCCCCCGCUCUUGGGCACAUCGCAUUCGCCACUAGUCGCUUGUAAUACAUAUUAAAUAAAGUAGGGAUAAAAUUUUAAGAUAUUCGCCAUAUCGUAAUUUUAAUUUUAGAAGGAAGAUUUAGGCUUCAUAGCUUCCUAUAGAAUCCUUUAGAUGUGGUAUGUAUUUCAUUGAAAGUAGGAGUAGGAAUACCAUAUUGUAAUAGUUUGUAGGUGCUCCGAACGGAGAACUCUCAUGAUGGUUUGCAUCUCCACACCAUCACAUCCUCGUGUGUUUCUUUCGCCAACGGGAUUCGAAGUAUAUUGGCCGCAUGAACAUUCGGUAAUAACUCGCGCCGCCAUUCUCUAUUAGCAUUAUCAAUUAAAUCAACAACUGCCAAUAUGUUAUUAUCACGAACCAUACUGCUCAAUUUAUAAUCAACCGAACUAGGAAUCCAUGCAUGAUUAAAAAUAGAAAAUUUUUCUUCUGUUCCCACUCUCCAACACAACCUAUUUUGAAGAUACUUCUAUGUCGAUCAAAUACUCUUCCAAGUAUAUGAUGCCCCAUGCUUUAAACUUGCAUUUAAAAAUUUGAUUUGAGGAUAAUACUUUGCUUUUAAAACUUAGGCUAAUAAAGAAUCAGGAUGAUUAAUAAGUUUCCACCAUUGUUUUGUUAAAAAAGCCACAUUAAAUUUUUCGAAACUCCUAAAGCCCAUGCCCCCAUUCUCUUUCAGCUCACAAAGUUUCCCCCAUUCACACCAAUGCAAUUCUCGCCUCUCAUGAGCUUUUAGCCACUAAAAUCCAGCCACUAUGCUCUCCAAUUUCCCACACAAAGAUUUUGGAAAAAGUAAGCAAGCCAUUGCAUAAGUUGGUAUGGCUUGAAGCAUUGAUUUUAUGAAUAACUCCUUACCCCCUAGUGAAAGAAAUUUAGAGCGCCAACUAUCAAUCUUCUUCUUCAUUUGAUCCUUUAAACUAAGAGAAUUAUAGGAAAAAUAAGAGAGCAAAGCAAACAAAAAUGAAAGGAUAAUUUAGUUUUUUUUCUUAGAAUACAAUAGGUUUAUACAUGCCCUCUAUUAUGGUCUCAAUCACCAUAGAUUACAAAAACAUAAAUAAAAGAAUUAAGGCAUCCUGUAAAAUUUUUAAGGGUUAUUAGAGAAUAACUUCUUGGGGAUUGGGAGUUGUAUGAACAUCCAUUCAUUAAAGGAUUUACAACACUCUGCCUUAAAUGUCCAUCAACGACAAUAUGCCUUAUUAAAACAUUUUUUCAUGAAAAAAUUUGUAGGAUAAAAACUAAUGAAGGAAAAAGAGUAUAGAAUCUUCUAUUAUAAGUUGCCUCAUUAAAAACUUUUAUUAGGAAAACACAACGAAACAAAAUCUUGGUUAAAUAAAAAUAGUACACACCAUGUUUUAGAUUAUCGCUAAUGGCAACAUCACAUUAAUCUCCUAUUAUAAGGAACCUCAUUAAUAAUUUUUACUAGGAAAACUUAAAGGGAUAAAUUUUGGUUAAAGGAAAAGAGUAUAAUUUAUUUUAGACUCACUAAUGCCAACAUCACAUUACAUUUUUUAGCCGACUCAUUUCAAUCUUGUAUACUAGUAUUUCAAAUGUUGUAGUUGGAAAUGCCUUAGUAAAAAGAUUUGUCAAAUUAUCACUUGAACGAGUUUGUUAAAUUUCUAUAUCACAUUUCAGCUCAAGACUAUGAGUGAAGAAUAAUUUUGGUGAAAUAUGUUUCGUUUUGUCACUUUUCAUGUAACCACCAUUUAAUUGAGUUAUACAUGUUGCAUUAUCUCCAUGUAAGAUAGUUGACAUAUGUUCUUGUAGAGACAAAUCACAAAUCUUUUGAAUAUGUUGGGUCAACAACCUUAGUCAAACACACUCUCAACUUGCCUAGUGGGUUGCAAAUAUUUCUGCAUGAUUUGAAGAGGUAACAACUAAUGUCUAUAUUGUUGAACACCAUGAUAGAACAACACCUGUUGGAAAAAAGUUGGUUUAGAAAACAAUGUUUUUUAGCACAAUGGAAGUUUAAAUUUUUUCUUAAAAACUGAUCUCUUCUAAUAUUUAUAGUAAUAAACUUUAACUGAAAUUAUACAUGUGUUUUGUAUAAAGAUUGUCUUGGUUGUUUUCCGAUUUUCAACUAAUCAAUUUUCACUGAUAUCCUCGAAUCUCAAAUUGCUUUGAGUGUGGGCUCAAAGAAUCAAAUUAGUGCGCAUAAUGAAAAUUUUACUUAACUUUCAGUAGGGAAGUUGAUUCUCUUUAUAAACUGACAACUAUGAGUAUUCUUGCAAAAAAUAUAAUUUAUUCUUAAAAUAAAUUGCCAUUAUUUUGUGUUAGUAGGUUAACUCAUAGUUAUUAUUUAUAGAGAAUCGGUAUUCGAGUUCUGUUUGAAUAAAGUCUUAAUUAAAUAAUAAUAUUUUAAUAGAAAAUACAAUGUUCCAAUAGAACUAGAGCAUAAGAAGCGACGACAUCCCUAAUAAAUAUUAGAGUUUGUCACCCCUAUAAAGUAAUCAAACCCUAUUAAGCCUUUCAUGUAUUAGGUACAAUUAUAGGUGUUAUCUGAACUUUUAUCUAACACUUAUAAUUUAUCUAAUCCCAUAAUUAUUUUUUAUUACCCAAAAUAUUGAUUAAUUAAUUAAUUUAAUGUCCAAAAAAUUAAUUAAUUAAAUUAAAUUAACUAAAUUAUUUUCUCAAUCUAAUUCUAAUUUCGUUAAAGUUAUGACAACUUUAUCGCAUUGGAAUCCAUGCAGAAAUUAAGGUAAUUGUCUUAUUCAAUAAAUUAAUGAUGACUAAUUAAUUUAAUUCUUACUUCGAACUUCAAUUAUUUAAUUAGAAUAAAUUAAAUUAUAAUUUAAAGAAAUUAAAUUAGUUUCUAAGUCAUCUUUUGUACUUAGUGAAAAAACGUAUUCACUACGAAUAGUGAUACAUACAAUCUAUUUCUUUUACUUAUCAUUUUAAUCCAUUCCACAGUCUGUUGAUUCUACAUGCAAUUUGUUUCAGGUCAUCUCAAUAUAGUGAAGGGAUCGAAUGCACAUAUAUACAAAUAAUUUGUAAUUAAGUUUUGACUUUUCGCCA